UAUUCUCAACUCUUCUGUGGUUUUUUUCUUUUUUUAAUAAAAGAGAACGCAGUCGAGCUUGGAUGUGGAGGUUUUUUUGUUGGGGCUCAAACAAAUAUAUUUUUGUUUGAACGCUGACUCCUCUGAAAUGCAUUAGCUUGAACGUUUACCAAGCAUGAUUCAGCGUGAUAAUGGUCUACGCUGCUUUGUCCUGGUAUUUGAUAUGUUCUGGCUGCGAACGGUCCCUUUGGACACUGUAUCUGAAC
This 245-nucleotide unclassified non-coding RNA is filed under the name Steccherinum litschaueri. RNAcentral describes it as "partial internal transcribed spacer 2". Lineage: Eukaryota; Fungi; Basidiomycota; Agaricomycetes; Polyporales; Steccherinaceae. The record is from RNAcentral.